RNAcentral lists this ribosomal RNA (506 nucleotides) under uncultured bacterium. RNAcentral's name for it is "bacterial SSU rRNA". It matches the Rfam family "Bacterial small subunit ribosomal RNA", at positions 28 to 523 of the family's 1533-position model. The record is from RNAcentral.
GAUGAACGCUAGCGAUAGGCCUAACACAUGCAAGUCGAGGGGCAUCACAUGAAGUAGCAAUACGGAUGGUGGCGACCGGCGCACGGGUGAGUAACACGUAUGCAACCUGCCUUCAACAAGGGGAUAACCCGUUGAAAGACGGACUAAUACCCUAUAACACAGGGGUCCCGCAUGGGAAUAUUUGUUAAAGGACAACCGGUUGAAGAUGGGCAUGCGUUCCAUUAGCUAGUUGGCGGGGUAAGGGCCCACCAAGGCAACGAUGGAUAGGGGAACUGAGAGGUUUAUCCCCCACACUGGUACUGAGACACGGACCAGACUCCUACGGGAGGCAGCAGUGAGGAAUAUUGGUCAAUGGACGCAAGUCUGAACCAGCCACGUCGCGUGAAGGAAGACGGCCCUACGGGUUGUAAACUUCUUUUAUACGGGAAUAAAGUGCCCCACGCGUGGGGUUUUGCAUGUACCGUAUGAAUAAGGAUCGGCUAACUCCGUGCCAGCAGCCGCGGUAA